RNAcentral lists this ribosomal RNA (1316 nucleotides) under Salmonella enterica subsp. enterica serovar Enteritidis. RNAcentral describes it as "partial 23S ribosomal RNA". It matches the Rfam family "Bacterial large subunit ribosomal RNA", at positions 1 to 1210 of the family's 2925-position model. Lineage: Bacteria; Pseudomonadati; Pseudomonadota; Gammaproteobacteria; Enterobacterales; Enterobacteriaceae. The record is from RNAcentral.
GGGUUGUGAGGUUAAGCGACUAAGCGUACACGGUGGAUGCCCUGGCAGUCAGAGGCGAUGAAGGGCGUACUAAUCUGCGAUAAGCGCCGGUAAGGUGAUAUGAACCGUUAUAACCGGCGAUACCCGAAUGGGGAAACCCAGUGUGAUUCGUCACACUAUCAUUAACUGAAUCCAUAGGUUAAUGAGGCGAACCGGGGGAACUGAAACAUCUAAGUACCCCGAGGAAAAGAAAUCAACCGAGAUUCCCCCAGUAGCGGCGAGCGAACGGGGAGGAGCCCAGAGCCUGAAUCAGCAUGUGUGUUAGUGGAAGCGUCUGGAAAGGCGCGCGAUACAGGGUGACAGCCCCGUACACAAAAGCGCAUGUGCUGUGAGCUCGAUGAGUAGGGCGGGACACGUGGUAUCCUGUCUGAAUAUGGGGGGACCAUCCUCCAAGGCUAAAUACUCCUGACUGACCGAUAGUGAACCAGUACCGUGAGGGAAAGGCGAAAAGAACCCCGGCGAGGGGAGUGAAAAAGAACCUGAAACCGUGUACGUACAAGCAGUGGGAGCCCCACCACCAAAGCAUUUGCUGUACCGCGUUGACGGAGCGAAGCGACGUCAAACCGAUAAAACAGCAGUGUAAAGUGAGCCGCAGGGCGCUUUGCGCGACAGCGCAAAGGCAGGCGGUUUCGCGUAGCGAAAGCGAAUGCUUUGGGGUGGGGUGACUGCGUACCUUUUGUAUAAUGGGUCAGCGACUUAUAUUCUGUAGCAAGGUUAACCGAAUAGGGGAGCCGGAGGGAAACCGAGUCUUAACCGGGCGUUAAGUUGCAGGGUAUAGACCCGAAACCCGGUGAUCUAGCCAUGGGCAGGUUGAAGGUUGGGUAACACUAACUGGAGGACCGAACCGACUAAUGUUGAAAAAUUAGCGGAUGACCUGUGGCUGGGGGUGAAAGGCCAAUCAAACCGGGAGAUAGCUGGUUCUCCCCGAAAGCUAUUUAGGUAGCGCCUCGUGAAUUCAUCUCCGGGGGUAGAGCACUGUUUCGGCUAGGGGGCCAUCCCGGCUUACCAACCCGAUGCAAACUGCGAAUACCGGAGAAUGUUAUCACGGGAGACACACGGCGGGUGCUAACGUCCGUCGUGAAGAGGGAAACAACCCAGACCGCCAGCUAAGGUCCCAAAGUCAUGGUUAAGUGGGAAACGAUGUGGGAAGGCCCAGACAGCCAGGAUGUUGGCUUAGAAGCAGCCAUCAUUUAAAGAAAGCGUAAUAGCUCACUGGUCGAGUCGGCCUGCGCGGAAGAUGUAACGGGGCUAAACCAUGCACCGAAGCUGCGGCAGCG